Molecule: ribosomal RNA, 497 nt
Filed under: uncultured bacterium
Lineage: Bacteria
Description: partial 16S ribosomal RNA
Rfam family: Bacterial small subunit ribosomal RNA
Source: RNAcentral
GACGAACGCUGGCGGCGUGCCUAAUACAUGCAAGUAGAACGCUGAAGCUUGGUGCUUGCACCGAGCGGAUGAGUUGCGAACGGGUGAGUAACGCGUAGGUAACCUGCCUGGUAGCGGGGGAUAACUAUUGGAAACGAUAGCUAAUACCGCAUAAGAGUAGAUGUUGCAUGACAUUUGCUUAAAAGGUGCAAUUGCAUCACUACCAGAUGGACCUGCGUUGUAUUAGCUAGUUGGUGAGGUAACGGCGCACCCAGGCAACGAUACAUAGCCGACCUGAGAGGGUGAUCGGCCACACUGGGACUGGGACACGGCCCAGACUCCUACGGGAGGCAGCAGUAGGGAAUCUUCGGCAAUGGACGGAAGUCUGACCGAGCAACGCCGCGUGAGUGAAGAAGGUUUUCGGAUCGUAAAGCUCUGUUGUAAGAGAAGAACGAGUGUGAGAGUGGAAAGUUCACACUGUGACGGUAUCUUACCAGAAAGGGACGGCUAACUACGUG